GCAUGGAGUCAUAAGCAACUGAUGGCACCGUACCAGUUGUUAUGUUGUGUAACUAAAGAGUUCUAGCACAAUAAAACAAAGAUUCAGUAACGAAAACCAAUGUGUAAUGUUGAUAAUAAGGUGCAGACAGAUUGACUCAGAAACUUUCUUCUUCACUUUCCACAAACAGAUAACAAAUUGGAGAGAUGAAUACAGCACAAACAACUCUACCUACCAGAUGAUCUCCAUCAUUGUCGCUGGUAACUCUGCAUAAACUCUAACACUCACACCUCCUCAGCAGUCCCUCUUCUGAUUGGAGAAGUUAGAGGGUGAAUAUUAGAAUGCUCUUCCUUGAUCUGCCAUUUAAGGAGGGCUGCCAGGGCAGCAUUUCAUCGUUUGCCACCUGGCUGCAGCACCAGGAGGUCUCUGCCGACCCAGGAUUAUUUCAUGAUGAAGAAACUGGAUUACAGAGUGCUGAUCCCAACUGAAAUGUACUGUUAAAAAAAAAUAAACUAUUUUUACAAAAUUGUUGGAGAAUCAAUAUUCGG
Non-coding RNA from Phascolarctos cinereus (koala), 527 nucleotides. NCBI's taxonomy places the organism in Eukaryota, Metazoa, Chordata, Mammalia, Diprotodontia, Phascolarctidae. The record is from RefSeq and is a predicted model, not a curated record.